RNAcentral lists this unclassified non-coding RNA (343 nucleotides) under soil metagenome. RNAcentral describes it as "partial contains 5.8S ribosomal RNA, internal transcribed spacer 2, and large subunit ribosomal RNA". The stretch from base 1 to 120 matches the Rfam family "5.8S ribosomal RNA", at positions 35 to 154 of the family's 154-position model. The record is from RNAcentral.
GAUGAAGAACGUAGCGAAACGCGAUAAGUAAUGUGAAUUGCAGAAUCCAGUGAAUCAUCGAAUCUUUGAACGCACAUUGCGCCCGCCAGCAUUCUGGCGGGCAUGCCUGUUCGAGCGUCAUUUCAACCCUCGACCUCCCCUUGGGGAGGUCGGCGUUGGGGACCGGCAGCACACCGCCGGCCCUGAAAUGGAGUGGCGGCCCGUCCGCGGCGACCUCUGCGCAGUAAUACAGCUCGCACCGGGACCCCGACGCGGACACGCCGUAAAACACCCAACUUCUGAACGUUGACCUCGAAUCAGGUAGGACUACCCGCUGAACUUAGGCAUAUCAAUAAGCGGAGGA